This 610-nucleotide long non-coding RNA is filed under the name Cyanistes caeruleus (blue tit). RNAcentral describes it as "lncRNA (ENSCCEG00000019840.1)". The record is from RNAcentral. Lineage: Eukaryota; Metazoa; Chordata; Aves; Passeriformes; Paridae.
AGGAGGUCUACAACAAGGUAGGUUGUAAACAUGAGUGCUUUUUAUUUUCUUGUUGUCAUUUUUGAUAUGACAAUUUCUAUUUUUACAUAAUUUUGGAAGAUAUUUAUCUUCUAGAACUGUGUCUCUACAGAUAGCAGGUGAGUAAAUCUCCCUCUUGUAGUUAGGCCAAGAAAUUCGGUUUUCAAACUCUAAGCAAAGCAUAUCCUGGGGGGAAAAAAAAGCUUUUUCUGCAUGAUUGUUUGUAAAUAGCCAGAUUAAAAAAUUGGUCAGCGUUUCCUGUGUGGUAAUUGAAACCAUUGUACACUGUCUGAAGGAAUAUGCCCCAACCAGGAGUUUCCUGUAUGAAUCCUGCAUAAAUCUUGGAUUAUAGAAGCAGUGUCUUUUGGUUGGCAGAAAGAGGCCUUUCAUUACUGCUGGUAUCAGUGAUGUUAAUGGAAAACAGCCCACAACUGCCUGUUAUUCGAAGCCAGUGGAAUUAAAGCAGAAAAGGGUUUGUCUGUUCAUGGUUUAGAAGCAAGAAUGGACCCAAUGUGAAAGCUCUUCCCUUUGAUUUGGAGUGAAAGACAUCCAGUGAUUUUCAUGCUAGUCUGAGAAAUAAUGUGAAGUCCUG